CUCUGCAGUAUCAAAUGUUCCAAGCCACAACCUUGCUCCCUGUCUUGAAGGGUCUCGAAUCUCCGCCGCGAAUUUUCCCCAAGGCCUUCUUCUCACGCCCCGGUAACGCACUUCUUCUCUUCCUUUCUCUUCCUUGUCCUUUCCUCGGCUGCUGCUGGGGCCUUCCAUACGCUAGCUAGAGAAGAUAAAAUAAUAGUACUUUAACGUAUAUAAUGUUUCAAACUUGC
This 227-nucleotide unclassified non-coding RNA is filed under the name Hevea brasiliensis (rubber tree). The record is from RNAcentral. Lineage: Eukaryota; Viridiplantae; Streptophyta; Magnoliopsida; Malpighiales; Euphorbiaceae.